GGGGUUGUGGCUCAGUAGUAGAGCACUCGCCUAGCACAUGAGAGGCCCUGGGUUCGAUCCUCAACACCACA
RNAcentral lists this transfer RNA (71 nucleotides) under Marmota monax (woodchuck). RNAcentral's name for it is "tRNA.Ala". It matches the Rfam family "tRNA". From Rfam's summary of the family: Transfer RNA (tRNA) molecules are approximately 80 nucleotides in length. Their secondary structure includes four short double-helical elements and three loops (D, anti-codon, and T loops). Further hydrogen bonds mediate the characteristic L-shaped molecular structure. tRNAs have two regions of fundamental functional importance: the anti-codon, which is responsible for specific mRNA codon recognition, and the 3' end, to which the tRNAs corresponding amino acid is attached (by aminoacyl-tRNA synthetases). tRNAs cope with the degeneracy of the genetic code in two manners: having more than one tRNA (with a specific anti-codon) for a particular amino acid; and 'wobble' base-pairing, i.e. permitting non-standard base-pairing at the 3rd anti-codon position. The record is from RNAcentral. Lineage: Eukaryota; Metazoa; Chordata; Mammalia; Rodentia; Sciuridae.